UGGGGAAUAUUGCACAAUGGGCGAAAGCCUGAUGCAGCAACGCCGCGUGAGUGAUGAAGGCCUUCGGGUUGUAAAGCUCUGUCUUUUGGGACGAUAAUGACGGUACCAAAGGAGGAAGCCACGGCUAACUACGUGCCAGCAGCCGCGGUAAUACGUAGGUGGCAAGCGUUGUCCGGAUUUACUGGGCGUAAAGGAUGCGUAGGCGGAUUUUUAAGUGACGAUGUGAAAUACCCGGGCUUAACUUGGGUGCUGCAUUUCAAACUGGGAAUCUAGGAGUGCGGGAGAGGAGAAUGGAAUUCCUAGGUGUAGCGGUGAAAGUGCGUAGAAGAUUAGGAAGAACACCAGUGGCGAAGG
RNAcentral lists this ribosomal RNA (354 nucleotides) under uncultured bacterium. Its description in RNAcentral is "partial 16S ribosomal RNA". It matches the Rfam family "Bacterial small subunit ribosomal RNA", at positions 355 to 721 of the family's 1533-position model. The record is from RNAcentral.